AACAAACGCUGGCGGCGUGCCUAAUACAUGCAAGUCGAACGGGGAAAGUUCUUCGGAAUGAGUACUAGUGGCGUACGGGUGAGCAACACGUGGAUAAUCUUCCUUCAGGUGGGGAAUAACGAGUCGAAAGAUUCGCUAAUACCGCAUAAGACCACAGUAACUUUGGUUACAGGGGUUAAAGACUUCGGUCGCCUUUAGAUGAGUCUGCGUCCGAUUAGCUAGUUGGUGAGGUAAUGGCUCACCAAGGCGACGAUCGGUAACUGGUCUGAGAGGACGGCCAGUCACACUGGGACUGAGACACGGCCCAGACUCCUACGGGAGGCAGCAGUAGGGAAUUUUGCACAAUGGAGGAAACUCUGAUGCAGCGACGCCGCGUGAGUGAUGAAGGCCUUCGGGUCGUAAAGCUCUGUUCUCAGGGAAUAAAAAAAUAGAAGGUACCUGAGGAGAAAGGACCGGCUAACUUCGUGCCAG
Molecule: ribosomal RNA, 471 nt
Filed under: uncultured bacterium
Lineage: Bacteria
Description: bacterial SSU rRNA
Rfam family: Bacterial small subunit ribosomal RNA
Source: RNAcentral